AUUUGGAGAAAGAAAAGGAAGGACAGGAACUGGAGGGUCACUGUGAGCUAAAGUAUUCCUUGACAGCAUUGGAUGCUAGACAGGAAUGACUUUGGCAUUGAUACAGAUCCACUGCAGACCACCAGAAGGGAAACUCAGCUAGAGCUCAACCCACCUGCUGCCAGGUCACACCUUCCUACUGACCUCACUUCCACCAAGGACCUUCCUCUUACUGCCCACCACCAAUAAAGAUCCAGCCACCUCAC
Molecule: long non-coding RNA, 245 nt
Organism: Polypterus senegalus (gray bichir)
Lineage: Eukaryota; Metazoa; Chordata; Cladistia; Polypteriformes; Polypteridae
Exons: 3
Source: RefSeq, a predicted model, not a curated record